CCUACGGGAGGCAGCAGUGAGGAAUAUUGGUCAAUGGGCGAGAGCCUGAACCAGCCAAGUCGCGUGAAGGAUGAAGGAUCUAUGGUUUGUAAACUUCUUUUAUAUGGGAAUAAAGUGAGGAACGUGUUCCUUUUUGUAUGUACCUUAUGAAUAAGGAUCGGCUAACUCCGUGCCAGCAGCCGCGGUAAUACGGAGGAUCCGAGCGUUAUCCGGAUUUAUUGGGUUUAAAGGGUGCGUAGGCGGCCUUUUAAGUCAGCGGUGAAAGUCUGUGGCUCAACCAUAGAAUGGCCGUUGAAACUGGGGGGCUUGAGUAUGUGUGAGGCAGGCGGAAUGCGUGGUGUAGCGGUGAAAUGCUUAGAUAUCACGCAGAACCCCGAUUGCGAAGGCAGCCUGCCAGGCCAUGACUGACGCUGAUGCACGAAAGCGUGGGGAUCAAACAGGAUUAGAUACCCGAGUAGUC
RNAcentral lists this ribosomal RNA (460 nucleotides) under uncultured bacterium. RNAcentral describes it as "partial 16S ribosomal RNA". It matches the Rfam family "Bacterial small subunit ribosomal RNA", at positions 338 to 795 of the family's 1533-position model. The record is from RNAcentral.